Molecule: Y RNA, 102 nt
Filed under: Cercocebus atys (sooty mangabey)
Lineage: Eukaryota; Metazoa; Chordata; Mammalia; Primates; Cercopithecidae
Description: Y RNA (ENSCATG00000004090.1)
Rfam family: Y RNA
About the family: Y RNAs are components of the Ro ribonucleoprotein particle (Ro RNP), in association with Ro60 and La proteins. The Y RNAs and Ro60 and La proteins are well conserved, but the function of the Ro RNP is not known. In humans the RNA component can be one of four small RNAs -- hY1, hY3, hY4 and hY5.
Source: Rfam by way of RNAcentral
GUCUGGUCCGAGUGCAGUAGCGUUUACAACUAAUUGAUCACAAGCAGUUACAGAUCUCUUUGUUCCUUCUCCACUUCUACUGCUUCACUUGACUUGCCUAAA